GGGCCCGUAGCUCAGUUGGGAGAGCGCUAGAAUCGCACUCUAGAGGUCGUCGGUUCGAUUCCGAUCGGGUCCA
This 73-nucleotide transfer RNA is filed under the name Chlorobiota bacterium. RNAcentral's name for it is "tRNA-Ala". It matches the Rfam family "tRNA". From Rfam's summary of the family: Transfer RNA (tRNA) molecules are approximately 80 nucleotides in length. Their secondary structure includes four short double-helical elements and three loops (D, anti-codon, and T loops). The record is from RNAcentral. RNAcentral also lists the same sequence under 1 other name. Lineage: Bacteria; Pseudomonadati; Chlorobiota.